Molecule: RNA transcript, 1375 nt
Organism: Harmonia axyridis
Lineage: Eukaryota; Metazoa; Arthropoda; Insecta; Coleoptera; Coccinellidae
Exons: 7
Source: RefSeq, a predicted model, not a curated record
GUAAACGUGCUGCGCAAAGAUUAGUGUUGUGGUUAUUAAGCACACGUGUUAUUGAACCUGUUUAUCAAAGAUUAAUAUUAAUUUGCUGUUCUUGUCAAGAUGAGUCGUGGUUCAUAUUGUAUGGUAUUAACCUGCCCGAACAAUAAAAGUAAAAACUCAAAGCUCGCGUUUUUUACAUUACCGAAGGACAUGAAAAUUGCCAAAAGUUGGAUCGAAUUCUCUGGACGCAAAGAUCUUGACCUGGGUGCUUCGAAAGACUAUAGAAUGUGUAGUGAGCAUUUUACAGAAAACCAGUUCAAAUGUAUAUAUCCACGGAUAUUGCUUCGGCGUGGAAGUAUUCCUCAUGUGAAUGGACCUAAAUCAGAUGUUCUUCCUGAAUCAGAGUCUAAGAUGAUCAUCCAUGAAGAAACUGUUCAAACGGAUCAAAACGUACCUCUAUCUAAUAUUGUUGUAGGAAGAAAAGUAUCUCUUUCUAGGAAGCCAUCUUGGUCUUAGAUGUAAUGUCAUACCUACAAUCGGUAUUCCAGAUGAAAAUACCAAUCACGACAACAAUUUAGAAAUUAAUGAGCCAUCAACAAAUAGGAUUAACGAAGAUGUUGGGCAGUUUAUAGAUGAAACUGUUUCAAAUUCGCAAAAUGACACAUCUUUUUGUAAUGAUGCAGAAAAUGAUUUUGAAGCUAAAAUGUGGAAAAAAUUAGAGACUCUAAAUCCAGAAGGAAAAAAGAGAUUAUUUGCAUUUGCACUAUCUAUGGCAGAUGAAAUUUUCCAAACACAGAGCCAAUGCCAAGAAGAACCAAUAUCUAAGAAGAUAAAACUUGAGGAACAACCUAUUUCCCAAGUAAAAAAUGAAUAAUUUACCAAUCUGAUCAUAAUGAUACACAGAGUAGGAGUUUUAGUGGGUAUGCCAAUCAUAAGACUCCCACAAUACCUCAACUUGUUAAGGUGUUCUACUUGAACAUGUUAGGAUAUAUAUACAUCUUUUCAUUUCUCUAUAUGGCUAGGUAUUUUUACAGAAACACAAAACAUACAUUUGAUGACAAACAAAAUAUUGAAUGGUCCAAAAUAUUGAUUCUGCAAACUAUCAUCCUAUCAUCUUCUUAAGCUUGCCAGCCAUAGCAGUAAUUGGACUAAAAAUGCAGACUACCAGAACUUCAUAGAAAAUAAUUUAAAACAUUAAAAUGAGAUUUACAAUUGAGAUGAAUUCUAACUGAACCAGGAUGUUAUACAUAUAGGAGAUGUAGAGAUAAUGUUCAAAUGUGGACAGAAGAACCAGUCAAUAUCAAAAUAAAAUAUUUACAUAAAUUAAUAAAAUUAAUUGUUUAUAAUUUCGAACAACUGUAAGCUUUCUUACAAUAAACUAUUUACUGCAUUGAUA